UACAGAGGGUGCAAGCGUUGUUCGGAAUUAUUGGGCGUAAAGGGUGCGUAGGCGGCCUGACAAGUCUGAUGUGAAAUCCCUGGGCUCAACCCAGGGCCUGCAUCGGAAACUGUCGGGCUUGAGUAUGGGAGAGGUGAGUGGAAUUUCCGGUGUAGCGGUGAAAUGCGUAGAUAUCAGGAGGAACACCUGUGGCGAAAGCGGCUCACUGGACCAUAACUGACGCUGAUGCACGAAAGCUAGGGGAGCAAACAGG
Molecule: ribosomal RNA, 253 nt
Filed under: uncultured bacterium
Lineage: Bacteria
Description: partial 16S ribosomal RNA
Rfam family: Bacterial small subunit ribosomal RNA
Source: RNAcentral